RNAcentral lists this long non-coding RNA (3639 nucleotides) under Homo sapiens (human). Its description in RNAcentral is "HSALNT0182090". Lineage: Eukaryota; Metazoa; Chordata; Mammalia; Primates; Hominidae. The record is from RNAcentral.
CGCCCCGUCACACAGCUCCAUCUUCUCCGAUUGGAAUUUAAUUACCUUCACCAGCGAAUGUUUGGAGAACCUCUCUCCAUCAAUUGAUUCUGAAGUCAGAUUUUUAUUCCGAGAUACUUAAUGGCACUUGGGCUGAUGGAAGCCUGGGAGCAGGUGGACCUGGGCCACAAGGAGCCCUUUAACAACAGGGUGAGGAAGGGUCAUUGCGGAUAUUCCCCUGCCUCUGAGCAGGUCAAUAUUUCAGGCACCCCAGACAGUUGGAAGUAUCGCAUUCCUGAGCCUCCUGCUGGUCUGGACUGGAAGUUCUUUCUGAUGUCUGCUUGAUGCUGGGAGACGGUGCUGGAGGAGCAGCACAGGACGAGGAAGGGCUUCUCUUGCAGGCUCCUCAGUGAGGUGUCCCGCAGCAUCCAGCCUCCUGCAGCAGCCCAGAGAGUGGCCUGCCAGAGAGUUCCACCCACACCGGCACUUCAGCAAACUUUCCUGCAGCCAGGGCGCCUCGGCUGUACCAUCUCUAACAAGGGCCAAUGCUGCUCCCCAAGCUGGGACCCUCAGAGCCACACCAUGGCGGCUUGGAAGGUGGCAGGGCUGCAGAAGAGGCUGUGGAGGAACUUGGAGCGUGACUCCAAAGGACGACAAGCAGAGGAACCCUGGGCAUGUCAAGCCUCCCCUGUGCCCCUUUACCACCCCGUACCAGGGCCCUGCUUCUCCUGCAGGCUCUGAAUAAGCCUCCAAGUUGCCGCCAGAUUGCCCAGCACCCAGAUGACUUUCCAGCAAAGAAACUUAAGGAUGCAUAGUCCUUCAGGAUGGAUUUCUGCCUUUGCCCCAUGAAAUCUCCCGAGAUACAGACCCCAGAGCAUGGACCUCUCUUAGGUACUGGGCCACCCUCCUACCCCAGCCGGGCUUAGAAUUCUUCCCAGUGUAUCCCCCCCACCCUGGUCCAUCAGGACCCCCAGAUCCUCUUCCUCUCUCAAGUCAGUCUCUGCCACCUCACUCUUCAGCUGUCCUCUGUGCUGUGACAGUCCUUCUUACCACAUCUCCCCUGGCUGGCCUGUCCUUGAGGCUUGGGCUGAAACCAUCAGCAAGACCUUUGUCUCCUUUCCUACUGGCCUUCCCUGCUCCCCACCCGUAGGUCCCCACUCCAUGCCUUAUGGGUGGUCUGGCCCACACUCCAGCCAGAGCCACCAGGACAUUUCCAAAUUACAUCCUUCAAGAAUCAGGAAGAGAUUUCAGAAGGAAAUUGCUUUCUCCCCUGCUCAGUCCAAAUGAGACUAUUUUUUACUUGUCUUGCCCCUCCCCCACCUCUCUCUCUUGCAAUUUCAGUAAAAAAUGAGAACAGUAGAAAGCGGACCCCCUCGUUGGUCAGCCUUUCUCCCUCCUGAGGUCUGCAGAGGCCUGAAGGCAUCAGCUGGGCUAGGGCAGCACCGGCUCCAUUCCUGCGGACAGGCUGUACUCCAGGGCUCCAUAAGCCCAGAGGCCAGGUCCGGGGAGCUGCAGGAGAGGGCAGACUUGGGGGACAGGGGGAGCCUGUGGCUAGAGAGAGUCAGGCAAACCUGUGAAGUAGGAGCCUCACUUUGUCUCCUGAUGCCCCUCUCCCUCCAGGAAUGUCCUCCAUUGCCUCCAGGUCCCUACAGGUCUCAGGUCAGAGGCAAGACAUCCAGGACAUCUAAUGCUCCAUCUAUGCCACCUGUGCCAGGCCUCUGAAGGUCACCCCUUCAAGAAAGCACCAGCCUGAGUCAGGGGGCCCGAGCUCCAGCCCUGCUCAGAAUGCCACUGCUCUCUCUGCUUCAGUCGUCUCACCCAGAAGUGAGGCCACCUCCAGAGUUGGGGCCAGGAUCAGAUGGGAUGAUGCAGGUGCAGGCGCCUUGUAAAGAGUGCAGGCUGCUGUUUGCUGACCACUCAUGCCGUGCCAUGCCCUGUGCUGAGUGCUUAAGUGUGUAAUCUCAUUUUGUCUUCACAAGAAUCUUCCAGGAGAGUCUAUUGUCAUUUCAUCUAAAGAGAAGGGAUCAAAGCUCAGGGAGGCCAUGGAACUGCCUAAAGGCACACAGCGGCCGAGACCUCAAAUCCCUGUUCUUAACCCUGUUCACACUGUGUUGUCAGGUGCUAGUCUGAGUUUUGUUAAAGGUACCUUUGAAGAACUAUUGAUAUGGUUAGGCUUUGUGUCCCCACCCAAAUCUCAUCUUGAAUUGUAAUCCCCGUAAUCCCCACAUGUCAAGGAGAAAACAGGUGGAGGUAACUGAAUAGUGGGAUCAGUUUCCCCCAUGCUGGUAUCAUGAUAAUGAGUUCUUAUGAGAUCUGAUGGUUUUAUAAGGGGCUCUUCCCCUUGGCUGAGCUUCUUCUUCCUGCCACCUUGUGAAGAAGGUGCUUGCUUCCCCUUCACCUUCCACCACGAUUGUAAGUUUCCUGAGGCCUCCCCAGCCAUGCGGAACUGUGAGGCAGUUAAGCCUCUUUCCUUUAUAAAUUACCCAGUCUUGGACAGUUCUUUAUAGCAGUAUGAAAAUGGACUAAUACAAUUAUCACCCCAAGAGAUAAGUGCAGGAGGAAUUUCAGGCUGUGCAUGUGUGGAGGAGACACGGGGUUGAGGAGAGCUUCUAGAAUUCCUCAAAUGACAAUAAUAGUGGCCAACUUGUGCAGGCUGUGUGCUAACCUGCACACAGUUAGCCUGCACAGGUUAGCCACUAUUAUUGUCAUUUGCUAGCCACUCUGAUGCUGUGGCUGACUAUGUGCAGGACUCUGCUAAAUUCUUUCUCUUGUUAACUCAUUUAAUACUUACCAUCCUCUAAGACAGGUACUGUUAUCAUCUCCAGUGUGCAGAUGGAAAAGCUGAGGCACAGAGAGGUGGCUUAAGGCAUUCAAAGGCAUGUGACUAGUUAGCCUCUGCCCCUUACAGCCUCAGCCACGACACCGAGGGAGCUACUUCUCCUCCCACUGACUCCUCUUCCUGAACCAGAAUGUACCUUGUGGGAGUUGUGGGACAAGGAAUAAAUGGGGGGCUAAUUGUCAGAAUAAGAACCCCAGACCCAGGACCCACAGUGAGGAUGGGGAUGUCUCUGCCCUGACUUUCAGGUCAAAAUCACCUUCUCUGUCUAUCACACCCCUCUCCCCCGACACCCAACAUAACACCUAUAGUCCAUGCUGUUCAAGGCUGUGGUGCUGAAGGAGGGGGUGUGGACUGGGUACCCUGGGACACAGGGCUGCUUGGCUGUUAGUCUCCUGGUUCCUCCCACCCCACCCCGGAGCCUCCCAAUCUCCCUCUUGAGUGUGUCCCAUCUCUGGCUCUCUGUGCCAGUUGCCCUUGUUUCCCUUACCCCCAUCCAUCCCUUUUCCUGGCACCAAGCUUCAGAUUGCAGGGUCACCUCAGCCACUGGACAGUCACAGGGAGCCAAGGACAAAAGGACCAGUGACAUCACUUGGGAAUGAGACCAGGAAGUUCAAGCCUGGCUGACGGGGCCAGGGAGGGGAGAGCUAACCAGGAGAUGACAGGUUCACCAACCUGUCAACAAGAGUGUAUCUAGACCCAGCAAUGCUAGGCUGUGGCUGAGCAAGUCACAUGGACUGUUAACCAAGGGGUCUAUCGGGGCAGCAGCAGCAAGGGACCUCCCCUGUAAUGCAAGACUUCUGUCACCUCAAGCUUCUUCUCCA